This 405-nucleotide ribosomal RNA is filed under the name uncultured bacterium. Its description in RNAcentral is "bacterial SSU rRNA". It matches the Rfam family "Bacterial small subunit ribosomal RNA", at positions 97 to 518 of the family's 1533-position model. The record is from RNAcentral.
GGCGGACGGGUGAGUAACGCGUGAGUAACCUGCCUUUCAGAGGGGGAUAACGUUUGGAAACGAACGCUAAUACCGCAUAACAUAUCGUUGUCGCAUGGCAGUGAUAUCAAAGGAGCAAUCCGCUGAAAGAUGGACUCGCGUCUGAUUAGAUAGUUGGCGGGUAAUGGCCCACCAAGUCGACGAUCAGUAGCCGGACUGAGAGGUUGAACGGCCACAUUGGGACUGAGACACGGCCCAGACUCCUACGGGAGGCAGCAGUGAGGGAUAUUGCACAAUGGGCGCAAGCCUGAUGCCAGCAACGCCGCGUGAAGGAUGACGGUUUUCGGAUUGUAAACUUCUGUUCUUAGUGAUGAUAAUGACAUUAGCUAAGGAGAAAGCCACGGCUAACUACGUGCCAGCCGCCGC